GCGUUCGUGGUGUACCGGAUGUGCACGCCAGGUUGUGGCCCUGGUGGUUCGGGUUCGACUCCCGACGAUCGCCC
Molecule: transfer RNA, 74 nt
Filed under: Dactylosporangium siamense
Lineage: Bacteria; Bacillati; Actinomycetota; Actinomycetes; Micromonosporales; Micromonosporaceae
Also listed under: 1 other name
Description: tRNA-His
Rfam family: tRNA
About the family: Transfer RNA (tRNA) molecules are approximately 80 nucleotides in length. Their secondary structure includes four short double-helical elements and three loops (D, anti-codon, and T loops).
Source: RNAcentral